AGGGCUAUAGCUCAGUUGGUAGAGCAACUCGUUUACCCGAGAAGGUCUACGGUUCGAGUCCGUAUAGCCCUA
RNAcentral lists this transfer RNA (72 nucleotides) under Datura stramonium (jimsonweed). Its description in RNAcentral is "tRNA-Val". It matches the Rfam family "tRNA". From Rfam's summary of the family: Transfer RNA (tRNA) molecules are approximately 80 nucleotides in length. Their secondary structure includes four short double-helical elements and three loops (D, anti-codon, and T loops). Further hydrogen bonds mediate the characteristic L-shaped molecular structure. tRNAs have two regions of fundamental functional importance: the anti-codon, which is responsible for specific mRNA codon recognition, and the 3' end, to which the tRNAs corresponding amino acid is attached (by aminoacyl-tRNA synthetases). tRNAs cope with the degeneracy of the genetic code in two manners: having more than one tRNA (with a specific anti-codon) for a particular amino acid; and 'wobble' base-pairing, i.e. permitting non-standard base-pairing at the 3rd anti-codon position. The record is from RNAcentral. Lineage: Eukaryota; Viridiplantae; Streptophyta; Magnoliopsida; Solanales; Solanaceae. RNAcentral also lists the same sequence under 3 other names.